RNAcentral lists this ribosomal RNA (492 nucleotides) under uncultured bacterium. RNAcentral's name for it is "partial 16S ribosomal RNA". It matches the Rfam family "Bacterial small subunit ribosomal RNA", at positions 30 to 507 of the family's 1533-position model. The record is from RNAcentral.
AUUGAACGCUGGCGGUAGGCCUAACACAUGCAAGUCGAACGGCAGCACAGUAAGAGCUUGCUCUUACGGGUGGCGAGUGGCGGACGGGUGAGGAAUACAUCGGAAUCUACUUUUUCGUGGGGGAUAACGUAGGGAAACUUACGCUAAUACCGCAUACGACCUACGGGUGAAAGCAGGGGAUCUUCCGACCUUGCGCGAUUGAAUGAGCCGAUGUCGGAUUAGCUAGUUGGCGGGGUAAAGGCCCACCAAGGCGACGAUCCGUAGCUGGUCUGAGAGGAUGAUCAGCCACACUGGAACUGAGACACGGUCCAGACUCCUACGGGAGGCAGCAGUGGGGAAUUUUGGACAAUGGGCGCAAGCCUGAUCCAGCCAUACCGCGUGGGGGAAGAAGGCCUUCGGGUUGUAAAGCCCUUUUGUUGGGAAAGAAAAGCAGCAGGUUAAUACCCCGCUGUGCUGACGGUACCCAAAGAAUAAGCACCGGCUAACUUCGUG